GUCGAUUAGUCUUUCGCCCCAUGCGCAGAUUUGACGAUCGAUUUGCACGUCAGAACCGCUGCGAGCCUCCACCAGAGUUUCCUCUGGCUUCACCCUAUCCACGCAUAGUUCACCAUCUUUCGGGUCCGAACAGUUAUGCUCUUACUCAAAUCCAUCCGAAGACAUCAGGAUCGGUCGAUGAUGCACCCGUAAGGGCUCUCACCUCCGUUCACUUUCAUUACGCUUGAGGGUUUAACACCCAAAAACUCGCAUAAAUGUUCGACUCCUUGGUCCGUGUUUCAAGACGGGUGGCUGAUGACCAUUAUGCCAGCAUCCUAGCCGAAGCGCGGUCCUCAGUCCCAGCGGCGGUAUUACACAGCAGGCUAUAACACUCCCGGGGGAGUCACGUUCCUGAAGUCUUUAUCCCGCCGCCGAAACUGAUGCUGGCCUCAACCAAGCGGAGUGCACCGGUGAGAACACCGGAUGAUCCGCAAGGCAAAGGUCUGGUCACAAGCCCUUCCCUUUCAACAAUUUCACGUACUAUUUAACCCUCUUUUCAAAGUGCUUUUCAUCUUUCGAUCACUCUACUUGUGCGCUAUCGGUCUCUGGCCGGUAUUUAGCUUUAGAAGAAAUUUACCUCCCAUUUAGAGCAGCAUUCCCAAACUACUCGACUCGUCGAAGGAGAUUUACAGAGGCUCGGCAUCCAACCGUACGGGGCUCUCACCCUCUAAGGCGUCCUGUUCCAAGGAACUCGGAAGGUACCUAACCAAAAUCAUCCUCUACAAAUUACAACUCGGACCCGAGGGCCAGAUUUCAAAUUUGAGCUGUUGCCGCUUCACUACGCCGUUACUAGGGCAUACCUGUUGUU
Molecule: ribosomal RNA, 847 nt
Filed under: Microdochium seminicola
Lineage: Eukaryota; Fungi; Ascomycota; Sordariomycetes; Xylariales; Microdochiaceae
Description: partial 28S ribosomal RNA
Source: RNAcentral